This 164-nucleotide ribosomal RNA is filed under the name uncultured bacterium. Its description in RNAcentral is "partial 16S ribosomal RNA". It matches the Rfam family "Bacterial small subunit ribosomal RNA", at positions 355 to 511 of the family's 1533-position model. The record is from RNAcentral.
UAGGGAAUCUUCCACAAUGGGCGAAAGCCUGACGGAGCAACGCCGCGUGUGUGAUGAAGGCUUUCGGGUCGUAAAGCACUGUUGUAUGGGAAGAACAGCUAGAAUAGGAAAUGAUUUUAGUUUGACGGUACCAUACCAGAAAGGGACGGCUAAAUACGUGCCAG